CUGGGCAAUUGCAGAAAGCAUUCGCAGCCAGUUUGAGAAAGUUACUCUGUUUUUAUUUCACAGGACAGCUCCACGUCAAACCAGCGGCUUGGUCUACAGGGCACCAUCAGUGUGUGGGAGGGACAGAGGAUCCAAACAGACAGUCUAAGUGAAGGACAUUUGGUUGUAUCAUACAGAAACAAUAUCCAGGGAAACAAUGAUGAUCAUCAAAGUGGGGAGAGGAGGGCACAGUUUCCCCAGGUUGCUUUGAUUGGUCUGUAUACAGCGAGAUGGGGAUGGAGGGAUAGACAAGGAAUGCCGGCCACUGGAAAAUGAUCAGAAUUGUCUCUACUGCCAAACCAUGUAAACUGUCACACUGCUAGGAGAUAAUAAGAGUUCAAAAUGUACAAAAAUCUCUAUCCAGGAUAUACUUUCUGUCUAGGAAAGGAAAAGUGCACUAAUAUUCUGGUUACAGAGAACAGUCACAUUGGAGGUGGCUGACACAGCAGAGUUCGAAAGGAAAGAGAAAUCAGUGGCUAUGGGGAGUGGGUUUGGCAAGAGCUGCCAAGCCAGCACCAGAAGGUGGGCUGCCUUCUUCUGCAAAGAGCAACCUAGGGAAGCCUUAAGAGUCCCCUCUCAGCAAGUCCCAGAAUGCCAUUCCUUCUGGCUCUGCCCCUCCAGCUGGGUGAACCCGGGCACAGCUGGGAAUUCCAAUGGUUGCCCUUAAGACCGAGAAUCCCAAACAACCCAGAAGCAGAUGUCUGAAUCUGAACCCAAGCUUCCGAUGUCUGAGUUUGCUCUGCACAGCAGAAAAUGGACUCGAUAACUCCCCUCCUCCUCCUAUCCCCUGCUGGCUCUCCCUACCCUUUUCCCCCAUCAGUACCAAUCCCUUUUAGGUCUGGUGGGGCCCUUGUGGUCUUCUCAGUGGCUAGCUAUGAGGCAACUUAAAAGAACAGAAGGAGCCUUGGCCCAGGAGGCCUCAACUCUGACCCUUAACAGCUGUGUAACUCCAGGCAAGUCACUUCCCCAUUCUAACACAAAGGUCUCCUCAUCUGCAAAAGAGAGAGAAAAAUACUUGCACCAUCUACCCCACAAAGUUGUUAGGAGGGAAGCGCUUUGUGAACCUUAAAGUGCUAAGUAAAUGAAUUAUUAUUAUCAUAGUUAUUAUUGUUUCUUGUUAGGGAAAAAGGUAAAUAAGUGAAAAAACAGGAAGUAAAAGACUGGAGGAGAGGGGGGAGACAGGAGACUGUGACAUUUAUCCUUGGGGUCUGUCCUUUGGCCAGAUUCUGCGCUUUAAGUGCCAACAUACCACCAAGUAGCAGGAAGGCCUCCACAUUCGUGCGUAAAAGAAUGAGAAAGCCCAACAAGGCAACCCAAUAAAACCAGCCAAGAAGCCAGUCCAAAUAGCUCAAAUAGAAAAAUCCCAGUUAUGAUCUUUCUGGUAGCCCAUGUUCUCCUUUAGGUUAUGUACUAUGAGCAAAAUGCUUCAUAGUUAUUUAUCAAGCUGUCUCCUCACUUCCAUCAAAGAAUCCAAUAUUUCAGAGUGGGAAGGGACCUCAGAGCCAUGGAGGCCAAUCCGGAACUAAAAAAAACAAUUUCCUCUGCAAGUUGCCCAACAGGUGCUCUUAUAGUCUGCUGAAAGAUCUCCAUUUUACCUUAAAGCAACUCCCCAUUAUUCCAAGUUUUUGCAUUCAAGAAGCUUAAAUUUGCUUAUUUGCCCUUUCUAUCUAGUAUUCCUAGUCCCUGCUCUCUGAGCACCCCAAAUAUUUCAAAACAGAUAAUCCUGACUCCUUCAACCAAUCCUCACAUGGCAA
Sarcophilus harrisii (Tasmanian devil) is the source of this 1793-nucleotide long non-coding RNA. The record is from Ensembl. NCBI's taxonomy places the organism in Eukaryota, Metazoa, Chordata, Mammalia, Dasyuromorphia, Dasyuridae.